UGCAGCGAUAAACCCGAACUUUAAGACUCCUGAACGCGGCUCAGACGAACACACGGGUGUAUCCGGUCCUUUUUCUAAAUAAUAUAUUUUUCCGACCGAUUAAAACAAAUAAAAAUAAACUUUUUGGUUGGGGACCCCUGUGCAAGACGACAUAGUUUACCACUCUGCGGGAAUAUUCUGCCAUAUAAUCUAUUCUUUAUUCAAACCUUUAAAAACAUCCACCGUAGAGAUUGAACUUGUAAGUGCAGAGGCAGAGGAGAGGGGAUGAAGAUGUGAAAGGAUAAUGGAGACGCUGAUUCAGCUUAACUCGUGUCUCUGAUCCAGAAAAAGAAGAUGCGGCCGUUCACCAGAAGAGGGCGCCACCUCCCGGCUCGCGGUCAGAAAGCCUUCACAGCUUCUUCACUGAAUCACGACAGCUUUUACAAAACGUCUUUUAUUAUCAUCUCAGGAAUACAGUUGACUGCUGUGCACAGCACAUACGUACAAAAAUAAAAGGAAAACCAUUUGUAAUAUAGUA
Long non-coding RNA from Pseudoliparis swirei, 517 nucleotides. RefSeq lists it as uncharacterized. NCBI's taxonomy places the organism in Eukaryota, Metazoa, Chordata, Actinopteri, Perciformes, Liparidae. The transcript has 2 exons. The record is from RefSeq and is a predicted model, not a curated record.